GUUUAUUCAAGUUAGACUCAUUUGUGUACCUGAACCAAUCGUUUAACAAUAGUGUUUAGUCUGAUAUUGAUUUCUAUUCAAUAGAUAAGAGCCAGCAAGAAAAUUGAAAAGGUAACGCCCAAUUAUGGAAAAAAAAGUAAACUUAGAAAAUAGGGAUAUUGCUGAGGAAGAAGGAACUGAGGAUAAUGAAAUGAAGCAAGUUGUACAUGACCCUAGUCGUGAAGGGGGUCGACAUAAAAUUCCAGUAAUGUUGAUGUCUCAAAUUAAAGACAUUGUGAAAUAUCCAGUAAAAGAUCCUAAGAGGAAGGAUGUUAAAAGAUUUUGUGUCCUUCCAAGAUAUUAUGAAUGGUCUGGGCCAAGUGAUGAUAGAAAUAGCAAAU
Long non-coding RNA from Leptinotarsa decemlineata (Colorado potato beetle), 380 nucleotides. Lineage: Eukaryota; Metazoa; Arthropoda; Insecta; Coleoptera; Chrysomelidae. The record is from RefSeq and is a predicted model, not a curated record.